Molecule: small RNA, 30 nt
Filed under: Bombyx mori (domestic silkworm)
Lineage: Eukaryota; Metazoa; Arthropoda; Insecta; Lepidoptera; Bombycidae
Description: ovarian small RNA-10426
Source: RNAcentral
AACUCAACAAAACUUCCCCUUAGAACCCAA